Molecule: non-coding RNA, 66 nt
Organism: Myotis lucifugus (little brown bat)
Lineage: Eukaryota; Metazoa; Chordata; Mammalia; Chiroptera; Vespertilionidae
Source: Rfam
GGCGGUUCUCAGGUGACACACCCCGAAAUCGGGCUCCCUCCUCUCUGGUUCUGGGUGCGAACCGCU